RNAcentral lists this small nuclear RNA (103 nucleotides) under Papio anubis (olive baboon). Lineage: Eukaryota; Metazoa; Chordata; Mammalia; Primates; Cercopithecidae. The record is from RNAcentral.
UUGCUUUGGCAGCACAUAUACUAAAACUGGAAUGAUACAGAGAAGAUUAGCAUGGCCCCUGCACAUGGAUGACAUGCAAAUUCAUGAAGCAUUCCGUAGUUUU